GGGCCUCUAGCUCAAUGGGUAGAGCAGCGGACUUUUAAUCCGUUUGUUGUCGGUUCGAGUCCGACGGGGCCUA
RNAcentral lists this transfer RNA (73 nucleotides) under Nocardioides alpinus. RNAcentral describes it as "tRNA-Lys". It matches the Rfam family "tRNA". From Rfam's summary of the family: Transfer RNA (tRNA) molecules are approximately 80 nucleotides in length. Their secondary structure includes four short double-helical elements and three loops (D, anti-codon, and T loops). Lineage: Bacteria; Bacillati; Actinomycetota; Actinomycetes; Propionibacteriales; Nocardioidaceae. RNAcentral also lists the same sequence under 1 other name. The record is from RNAcentral.